Molecule: ribosomal RNA, 842 nt
Filed under: Carabus lewisianus awakazusanus
Lineage: Eukaryota; Metazoa; Arthropoda; Insecta; Coleoptera; Carabidae
Description: partial 16S ribosomal RNA
Rfam family: Bacterial large subunit ribosomal RNA (bases 1-567)
Source: RNAcentral
GUCUAGUUUGCCCACUGAAUUUAAUUUUUAAUGGCCGCAGUAUUUUGACUGUGCAAAGGUAGCAUAAUCAUUAGUUUUUUAAUUAAAAGCUUGUAUGAAAGGCUGGACGAGGUAGAAUCUGUCUCUAUUUAAAUUAUAAUAGAAUUUAAUUUUUAAGUUAAAAAGCUUAAAUGUUAUUAAAAGACGAGAAGACCCUAUAGAUCUUUAUAAUUUAUUAAAUGAAAUUAAUUUAGAAUUAUUUAUUUUUUAUUUUAAUAAAUUAUUUUAUUGGGGUAAUAGAAAGAUUGAGUUAAUUCUUUUUUGUAAUAAACAUUGAUUUAUGAAUAUUAAAUGAUCCAGUUUUACUGAUUAUAAGAUUAAGUUACCUUAGGGAUAACAGCGUAAUUUUUUUAGAGAGUUCAUAUCGAUAAAAAAGUUUGCGACCUCGAUGUUGGAUUAAAGAUUAUUUUGGGUGUAGAAGCUCAUUAAUUUUGGUCUGUUCGACCAUUAAAUCUUUACAUGAUCUGAGUUCAGACCGGCGUAAGCCAGGUCGGUUUCUAUCUUUAAUAAAAUAAAAUAUUUUAGUACGAAAGGACCAAAUAUUUAAUAUAUUUAUAUUUAAUUUAUUGAAUAUUAUUAAAGUUUUUAUUAUUUUGGCAGAUUAGUGCAAUGAAUUUAGAAUUCAUUUAUGUAAUUUAUUUACAAAUAAUACUUGUUUUAUAUAGAUAUUAUUUUUUCUUUAGUAUGUAUAUUAUUAUUAAUUGUUUGUGUCUUAGUGGGGGUUGCUUUUUUAACUUUAUUGGAACGAAAGGUUUUAGGUUAUAUUCAAAUUCGUAAGGUCCUAAUAAAGUAGGAUUUGUAAG